Molecule: ribosomal RNA, 117 nt
Filed under: Pelodiscus sinensis (Chinese soft-shelled turtle)
Lineage: Eukaryota; Metazoa; Chordata; Testudines; Trionychidae
Source: RNAcentral
GCAUGUGGCCAUAUCAUCUUCAUCUGUGAGCUCUUCAGAUUUCACAAGCUAAGCAGGGUCAUAUCUGGUCAAUAUUUUGCUGGGAGAACUCCCAAGAAAACACAAGUGCUGUGAGUG